UGGCUCCGGCUUGGGAAGCGGCAGAAAAGGCCGGCGUGUGGGGCGGGCCUGGGGAAGGGACUCCCGCGGCCCUAAGGUGCUGGCGGGCGUUUGGCGUUGCAGCUGUGUGGGCGCUGGUGCGUGCGAGUAGCGCUCGAAGAAACCCAAAGGCGUCGUGGGGCUGCCGUGUGCCCCAGAGAGCACUGCAGGCCGGGUAGGGGCUAAGGCUCCCCGCAGUCUUCUGUGUGUCGUCCAGUACGCAGUUGAAAUCGUUCUCCAACCUGGCCAGUCCUCCGAGGCCCUUCUCAGGCGACCAGACUCUGUUAACAGAGUCCAUUGCUAAAACUCCUCGUUAGUAUUUACCACUCCUCCAGUCUGUGUUUUGAAGCAGUGGUUUUCAACCACUGCCCGUUUUCAGAAGAAAUCAUCUCAAGCGUCCGUGUGCUGCUAGAAGCCGGGCCGGGAGGUCUUGGUGCCGGACUCCACCCUGCAGCCCUUCCCUUUCGCCACCGCCCUGUGCUUAGAGAAACCUUAGAGUGGAGCAAUGAGUCGCCCUUGACUGAGUAACUCUUCGGGGUCAACUUCUCCUUCCACGCCAAGGAAAGGAUUCCAGGGCGAUGUUUCUGGAAAUAGAGAUCUGACCAAGCCACUGCUCUGGUGAAAAUUCAGUGGGUCCCUAGCACCUAGUGCAGCGGCUCCUAGCCUGAGUAUUGCCGUCUUUCGGUGGGGAGGGGUUGGGUUUUUUUGUAGCAUCUGUUGAUCUGAUCUCCAACAUCCUCCACGUCAAUUCCCACUCCACCCACAUCCCUUAUCCUAUACGUAAGCUUUCCAGCCACGGUGCUGGCUUGGGUGGGGGUGCGUGCGGUGCUGACACCAAAAUGGAGGUCCCGUGUUUCUGAGAGUCUCUUUCAGAGCAAUGCAAACCUGAAACUACUCCUGCCAAGAAACGAUUGCAGCUCUUCCCGGAAAAGUUAAAGCCUUUGAGAAACAAAGCUGAGCUAAUAUUGGGAAGCUCAGCAGGGUCCUGGGGGCCCACAGGAAUGUGAAUAAACACGCUUGGAAAGUCUGCAGAAUUUCCAGUCCUAGCCUCCUGCUGGUGUGAACCUGGGCUCCUGUGCCUGGGACCCUGGGAGGGCCUAGGGGAUGCCAAAUUCCAGGGUCCAGAAAGAGCUUGGGAUAAAAUGAACAUCCAAGGGGAGGGCUUUGACCUGGGCUGAGUCUGCCUGUGCCGAGUCUGCCUGUGCCAUCCAACUGGAGUCUCAAGUCCUGAGGCAGGACGUCCAGAUGCCCCAGUGCAGGGUCCUCCUGAUCAACACCUGCUCCCCUGUACUCAUUAGCAACCUCACCCACCCUACUCUCAAAGCACACUUGGCUCUCAUAUCCAGGAGCUCUGCAUCUGUAGAUUCAGCAACAGCAGAUGGAAAAUAUUCAGAAAAUAAAUUGGACAGUUAUAUUUCUAUUGAACAUGUGCAGACUUUGUUCUUG
Molecule: long non-coding RNA, 1464 nt
Filed under: Homo sapiens (human)
Lineage: Eukaryota; Metazoa; Chordata; Mammalia; Primates; Hominidae
Description: HSALNT0390938
Source: RNAcentral